Molecule: ribosomal RNA, 254 nt
Filed under: uncultured bacterium
Lineage: Bacteria
Description: partial 16S ribosomal RNA
Rfam family: Bacterial small subunit ribosomal RNA
Source: RNAcentral
UACGGAGGAGGCAAGCGUUAUCCGGAAUGAUUGGGCGUAAAGCGUCCGUAGGUGGUUUUUCCAGUCGGCUGUUAAAGAGCAAAGCUCAACUUUGUAAAGGCAGUGGAAACUGAAAGACUAGAGAGCCGUAGGGGUAGAGGGAAUUCCCGGUGUAGCGGUGAAAUGCGUAGAGAUCGGGAAGAACACCGGUGGCGAAAGCGCUCUACUGGACGGCAUCUGACACUCACAGGACGAAAGCUAGGGGAGCGAACAGG